AUGCAGUCGAACGGCAGCGCGGGGCAACCUGGCGGCGAGUGGCGAACGGGUGAGUAAUAUAUCGGAACGUACCCUGGAGUGGGGGAUAACGUAGCGAAAGUUACGCUAAUACCGCAUACGAUCUAAGGAUGAAAGUGGGGGAUCGCAAGACCUCAUGCUCCUGGAGCGGCCGAUAUCUGAUUAGCUAGUUGGUGGGGUAAAGGCCCACCAAGGCAUCGAUCAGUAGCUGGUCUGAGAGGACGACCAGCCACACUGGAACUGAGACACGGUCCAGACUCCUACGGGAGGCAGCAGUGGGGAAUUUUGGACUGUGGUAGCAAGCCUGAUCCAGCAAUGCCGCGUGAGUGAAGAAGGCCUUCGGGUUGUAAAGCUCUUUUGUCAGGGAAGAAACGGUGGGGGCUAAUAUCCCUUGCUAAUGACGGUACCUGAAGAAUAAGCACCGGCUAACUACGUGCCAGCAGCCGCGGUAAUACGUAGGGUGCAAGCGUUAAUCGGAAUUACUGGGCGUAAAGCGUGCGCAGGCGGUUAUGUAAGACAGAUGUGAAAUGCCCGGGCUCAACCUGGGAACUGCAUUUGUGACUGCAUGGCUAGAGUGUGUCAGAGGGGGGUAGAAUUCCACGUGUAGCAGUGAAAUGCGUAGAUAUGUGGAGGAAUACCGAUGGCGAAGGCAGCCCCCUGGGAUAACACUGACGCUCAUGCACGAAAGCGUGGGGAGCAAACAGGAUUAGAUACCCUGGUAGUCCACGCCCUAAACGAUGUCUACUAGUUGUCGGGUCUUAAUUGACUUGGUAACGCAGCUAACGCGUGAAGUAGACCGCCUGGGGAGUACGGUCGCAAGAUUAAAACUCAAAGGAAUUGACGGGGACCCGCACAAGCGGUGGAUGACGUGGAUUAAUUCGAUGCAACGCGAAAACCUUACCUACUCUUGACAUGGACGGAAUCCUUGAGAGAUCGAGGGGGUGCUCGAAAGGAGAGCCGUCACACAGGGUGCUGCAUGGCUGUCGUCAGCUCGG
Molecule: ribosomal RNA, 1013 nt
Filed under: uncultured bacterium
Lineage: Bacteria
Description: bacterial SSU rRNA
Rfam family: Bacterial small subunit ribosomal RNA
Source: RNAcentral